RNAcentral lists this ribosomal RNA (429 nucleotides) under Acidobacteriota bacterium. Its description in RNAcentral is "Acidobacteria bacterium partial 16S ribosomal RNA". It matches the Rfam family "Bacterial small subunit ribosomal RNA", at positions 355 to 776 of the family's 1533-position model. Lineage: Bacteria; Pseudomonadati; Acidobacteriota. The record is from RNAcentral.
UGGGGAAUUUUGGACAAUGGGGGCAACCCUGAUCCAGCAAUGCCGCGUGUGUGAAGAAGGCCUUCGGGUUGUAAAGCACUUUUGUCCGGGAAGAAAUCGCACCUGAUAAUACCGGGUGUGGAUGACGGUACCGGAAGAAUAAGGACCGGCUAACUACGUGCCAGCAGCCGCGGUAAUACGUAGGGUCCAAGCGUUAAUCGGAAUUACUGGGCGUAAAGCGUGCGCAGGCGGUUGUGCAAGACCGAUGUGAAAUCCCCGGGCUUAACCUGGGAAUUGCAUUGGUGACUGCACGGCUAGAGUGUGUCAGAGGGGGGUAGAAUUCCACGUGUAGCAGUGAAAUGCGUAGAGAUGUGGAGGAAUACCGAUGGCGAAAGCAGCCCCCUGGGAUAACACUGACGCUCAUGCACGAAAGCGUGGGGAGCAAACAGG